RNAcentral lists this ribosomal RNA (479 nucleotides) under swine manure pit bacterium PPC7. RNAcentral's name for it is "bacterial SSU rRNA". It matches the Rfam family "Bacterial small subunit ribosomal RNA", at positions 7 to 501 of the family's 1533-position model. The record is from RNAcentral.
GAGAGUUUGAUCCUGGCUCAGGACGAACGCUGGCGGCGUGCCUAACACAUGCAAGUCGAGCGAGGAGAUUCCCUUCGGGGAUGAACCUAGCGGCGGACGGGUGAGUAACACGUGGGCAACCUGCCUUAUAGAGGGGAAUAGCCUUCCGAAAGGAAGAUUAAUACCGCAUAACAUUACAUUUUCGCAUGAAGAAGUAAUUAAAGGAGUAAUCCGCUAUAAGAUGGGCCCGCGGCGCAUUAGCUAGUUGGUGAGGUAACGGCUCACCAAGGCGACGAUGCGUAGCCGACCUGAGAGGGUGAUCGGCCACAUUGGGACUGAGACACGGCCCAGACUCCUACGGGAGGCAGCAGUGGGGAAUAUUGCACAAUGGGGGAAACCCUGAUGCAGCAACGCCGCGUGAGUGAUGAAGGUCUUCGGAUCGUAAAGCUCUGUCUUCAGGGACGAUAAUGACGGUACCUGAGGAGGAAGCCACGGCUAAC